Long non-coding RNA from Neopelma chrysocephalum (saffron-crested tyrant-manakin), 1951 nucleotides. RefSeq lists it as uncharacterized. The transcript has 3 exons. The record is from RefSeq and is a predicted model, not a curated record. Lineage: Eukaryota; Metazoa; Chordata; Aves; Passeriformes; Pipridae.
GCCGCCGGGCGGGUCCGGAGCGGCAGGAACGAGCGCGUCGCUCGCUGCCCGUGGUGAGGACUGGGGAGCUCCGGGUCCAGCCUCUCGUCAGGCGUGCCCGCCUCUCGGGGAACCCUGGCAGCUCCCUUGGGAGAACGGGGAGGUUGCGGAGGCCGCAGGUGUUCAACGCCUCCCAGUCUCCAGCCGAAGGCUCUUCGGUUGGGGAGAGAAAAACAAAUGGGGUUAUCAGCGUUUGAGCCCAAGUGAGUUCUCUGGGGAGAUGCUGGGAAUAACAGGGCUGGGAAUUAAACUGGAAAUGAAAACCCUGAUUUAAGUUCUCCCCUUCCAGUGCAGUAGAUCUUCCCCCGCCCCCGCAAAGAAAAAUACCCAUGCAUAAGCUGUAUGUCAUUCCAUAACCCCUUUGUGUGGUUUUUUGAGCUGUGUUUUGACACAUUUCCCACCCCUCUGUUGGGCAUAUCGGUGGAGUGACUGGCCAGCUGUGUCCCAGGCUGUCAGGUUCUUUGAGCCUGCAUAGGUAAUACCCUUCUUUGCUUUUGUUACCGUUCAAAUCCCACUGCUGUCAGAAACAGUGCUGCAAAGGAAACGGAGAAGCUUAUGUAUCACUACAGUGGCAGACCCGAGAUGGUGCAGAGCCUAGAGGGUUAAAGCAACAGGAUGAAGUCAGCACAAAGCAGCCCACAAAGGCUGGCAAAUAAAUAAAUCAUCCUAAUUACGUUAUUAUUAUGGCUUGCCUGAGGUUCAUUGUCUCUUUCUUUCUUACCUGAAUCUCUGUUACAUUUUUCUCCUUGUUCGAGAGCAGUAAUCAAAGGAGACUGUGAGCACUAAAUGGCUUCUGCCCAUUUUGAUGUUGCUAAAAAUACUACCUUACCUCUCCAUAUCCAGAGGUCAAUUGAAAAAUCAAAAUAAUGACUUCAGCACCCUCCUUUGCACUGAUGGCUGUAGCUCAGGGAGGCUUCCCCAGGCACUUGGAAAUUGCAUUUCUUGAUACAGCUUGUAGGACUGGCAGAUGUGUUCUGCACAGUUCUGUCCUCUCCUAGCUCUAAGGCAGAUAAAACUAGCUGUGGUACAACUAAAGGAGAUGAUGUGUUUAACGCAUUGCAGUUUGGGUACGUGUCUGUACCUGCUUCUGCUUGUCUUGAGGAAAGGUACCACUGCAGCCCAGCACCAUUGCAGUCCUAGACAAGAUGAAAGAGCGGAACGAUAUUUCAUGAACAAGGGCACAAUGUCUACAUGCAAAGAAAAAACAAACCAAAGCACAAAUCCUGGAAUUGAUGGAGAAUCUGACCAAUUAAAAGACUUUGAUCAGGCAUGAGAGAGUAGAAGGGAAAAAACAGAGCAGAGUAGGAUAGCAAUAAUUUACAUUACUAUUAAGAGUAGAGGAAAAAAACAUGUUUGGGAAGCUUUCCAUGAUAAAAAAAAAAAUAAAACCAAGUAUGGAUGGUGAUGAAACGGUAUGACCAUAGCUGCCUCUUAGAAAGUGAGAAAUGACUGGUGAAUGCAUGUAUGCUAUCACUCCAUAAAUAACUACUGAAAAAUGCAUAAAGUGGGCACCCAACAACCUGCAUGGAAGUGACUUUUCCUACAUAACACUUCCCUGGUUUAGAGCUGAUACUUUCUCUGCCAUGGCCAGACACGUGCCAAUUAAGACUUGAAUUCCUAAAGGGUGGCCAAGGUUUUAAGCAAGGCUGUCCUGGAAGCAAUUUGGUCCAGUUCACUAGGAGUGUUUGUUAAAAAUACACUGCUGUUGCUGUCUCCCUGGACCUGCUGUUAACCAUCAUCUCUUGGUGUCUGUCCUCAGUAUGGAUAUGUGUUGCUCAUGCACUCACCUAUCACCCCAGGACUCAAAAUGUGACAGUGUCCAUUAUACUUACUAAAGUGCAAAAGUGCUUUUGGGGGUUCAUGGUAUGUACAAUUCUGGACUGAAAUAAAAGUUUUAGUUCUUGGUUUGUGA